GUCUAUGGCCAUGAUACCCUUCCAAGAUGUCUGACUUUGGAAGCUAAGCAGGGUCGGGCCUGGUUAUAACUUGGAUGGGAGACUACCUAGGAAGACCAGGUGCUGUAGGCA
This 111-nucleotide ribosomal RNA is filed under the name Pteropus alecto (black flying fox). Lineage: Eukaryota; Metazoa; Chordata; Mammalia; Chiroptera; Pteropodidae. The record is from RNAcentral.